This is a long non-coding RNA of Syngnathus acus (greater pipefish), 536 nucleotides long. RefSeq lists it as uncharacterized. The record is from RefSeq and is a predicted model, not a curated record. The transcript is spliced from 4 exons. NCBI's taxonomy places the organism in Eukaryota, Metazoa, Chordata, Actinopteri, Syngnathiformes, Syngnathidae.
UGGUGUUUCUGACCAAUUGCAUUCGCUAGCCAUACGGUUAUAAAUGCCUGGCAAGGCAGCUCGUGUGUAAUGUGAAAAUUUCAGGUCAAGCCAAGGCGUUUUCCAGCCCUGAAAACAACACAAAGAAAAUGGGAUUGCUUUCAGCACUGGCUGUUGCUGCAGGCGUAGCGGGUGCAGCAGGAGGAGCUAUUAUUUUUGCUCCCGUUGCUGUUGCCACUAUUGGCUACGCAACUGCAGUGGGCGUCACUGCUGUGGUCAACGCUGGAGUAGCGACAGGCACAGCAGCAGCAGCAGGUUCAGCAGCCGCUGCAAGCGCUCCUGUCGCAGGCAUUGUGAUGGCUCUCUUCUGAAUCCUUAACACCUAAAACUUGUCCACUACUUCAAAGAAUACAGUAUAUGUUAUAAACUCUGUGCCAUGUGGUGCUGAAGUGCACACUUAAAUUUAUGGUAGAUUUGUGUUAAAGUAAUUGCCAAGAGAAUGUUGAAGAUUGUUUUCCUUGCCUUUCAAUUUGACUGAAUAAAUGGCUUCCUAAGUU